RNAcentral lists this transfer RNA (86 nucleotides) under Candidatus Nanoarchaeia archaeon. Its description in RNAcentral is "tRNA-Leu". It matches the Rfam family "tRNA". Rfam says of the family: Transfer RNA (tRNA) molecules are approximately 80 nucleotides in length. The record is from RNAcentral. Lineage: Archaea; Nanobdellati; Nanobdellota; Candidatus Nanoarchaeia. RNAcentral also lists the same sequence under 2 other names.
GCGGGUGUGGCGGAACGGUAGACGCGCUACGUUCAGGUCGUAGUGAUCGCAAGGUCGUGGAGGUUCAACUCCUCUCACCCGCACCA